CGAAGCGUUUUGCAUCGUUGGGUUUGUCGGAUUGACGAACACAAAUGUGCCUAAAUUCAACACUGAAAAAAUUGAAAAAAUAAAAUAACAGAAAAUUUGAAUUAAAAAAAAAACUAGUACCAGAUCGUACCACCACCCCGGUCAUAGGAACCUACACGGGGCUGUAACCACCACUUGGGGAGAAGAUGGGGACAGUGUGGUGGUGGGAGGGGAGAGUGGAAGUCGGGCAUUCACUCAUUGGCCGCCGUCACCGACAACGAGACGCUUGAAUCAGUUUUAACAGGGCCGCAGAUUUGAGAACAACGGUUGCAGGGUCUUUCCUCGUCAUUGUCGAGAUGUGUCGUUGCCUUCGUCGCCGCCUUCAUCGUCGCCUCCAUCGCCAUGAAUUUCC
Molecule: long non-coding RNA, 391 nt
Filed under: Erythranthe guttata (spotted monkey flower)
Lineage: Eukaryota; Viridiplantae; Streptophyta; Magnoliopsida; Lamiales; Phrymaceae
Description: long non-coding RNA (EGUT_LNC002244)
Source: RNAcentral